This 256-nucleotide ribosomal RNA is filed under the name uncultured bacterium. RNAcentral's name for it is "partial 16S ribosomal RNA". It matches the Rfam family "Bacterial small subunit ribosomal RNA", at positions 524 to 776 of the family's 1533-position model. The record is from RNAcentral.
UACGUAGGGGGCUAGCGUUGUCCGGAUUUAUUGGGCGUAAAGAGCGUGUAGGCGGCCAGGUAGGUCUGCUGUGAAAAACUCGAGGCUCAACCUCGAGACGUCGGCGGAAACCAUCUGGCUAGAGUCCGGAAGAGGAGAGUGGAAUUCCUGGUGUAGCGGUGAAAUGCGCAGAUAUCAGGAAGAACACCCGUGGCGAAGGCGGCUCUCUGGGACGGUACUGACGCUGAGACGCGAAAAGCGUGGGGGAGCGAACAGG